RNAcentral lists this ribosomal RNA (301 nucleotides) under uncultured bacterium. Its description in RNAcentral is "partial 16S ribosomal RNA". It matches the Rfam family "Bacterial small subunit ribosomal RNA", at positions 509 to 807 of the family's 1533-position model. The record is from RNAcentral.
CAGUAGCCACGGUAAUACGUAGGUGGCAAGCGUUGUCCGGAAUUAUUGGGCGUAAAGGGCUCGCAGGCGGUUCCUUAAGUCUGAUGUGAAAGCCCCCGGCUCAACCGGGGAGGGUCAUUGGAAACUGGGAAACUUGAGUGCAGAAGAGGAGAGUGGAAUUCCACGUGUAGCGGUGAAAUGCGUAGAGAUGUGGAGGAACACCAGUGGCGAAGGCGACUCUCUGGUCUGUAACUGACGCUGAGGAGCGAAAGCGUGGGGAGCGAACAGGAUUAGAUACCCCGGUAGUCCCUGUCUCUUAUAC